RNAcentral lists this ribosomal RNA (253 nucleotides) under uncultured prokaryote. Its description in RNAcentral is "partial 16S ribosomal RNA". It matches the Rfam family "Bacterial small subunit ribosomal RNA", at positions 525 to 777 of the family's 1533-position model. The record is from RNAcentral.
ACGUAGGGGGCGAGCGUUGUCCGGAGUUACUGGGCGUAAAGCGCACGCAGGCGGUCGGCCAAGUUCGGAGUGACAGUUUCCGGCUUAACUGGAAAAGGUCUUCGAAAACUGGUGGACUUGAGGACUUGAGGGGGAGACGGAAUUCCGGGUGUAGUGGUGAAAUGCGUAGAGAUCCGGAGGAACACCAGUGGCGAAGGCGGCUGGCUGGACCUGACCUGACGCUGAGGCGCGAAGGCGUGGGGAGCGAACGGGA